UCUCACAGCCCUGCCUGCUGCGGGGGCCCGGGGCGUCGGGGCUCUCCGGGUCUUCCGCUGGGAGCACUCCUGGGCUCUGGGCCCGGUCCCCAACCCCGAGGAAGCCCGCCUGGACUGGGAGCCACUGUUUGUUUUGUUCCAUUUUGUACCCAGUUUGGAAGCAGUGAGGGUGGGGUAGGGACUUCUUUCAGAAUUUUCUCAGGUCUGUCCCCGAGAGGCAGAGACACAGGGAGGGUCGCCCUGGCAGGGCUGUGGGUGGCUGGGAGGUGCCCACCGCCCCGCACUCUGCCCGGAACUGAGCUGUCGGGGCUCGUGGCAGCUGGAGGUGGGCCCUCAGCCUGGCCACGGCCACGCACUGAGGGGGCCUCCCCGAGGGCCUGAGGGCCGGUUUCUGGGGGGAGGAAGUGGCCGUCUCGUGUGGCGUGGGCUGAGCACUGCAGUGGUUGGUUUUGUGUGGUUGGUUUCUUGCACCAACGUGACGGGAGUGGCCCGCCGGUGGCGCCCCGCACCUGCCCCGCGCACCUGGGCCCUGCGAGUGAGUGCUCAGGGCGGCCCUUGACCAGGGAGUGCAGAGAAACAGCGCACACGUCAGACCAGCCCUGCACCAGCCCUGUCCCUGUCCGUCCGCCUCCCACCUCCCUCCUGUGCCUGAUACGCAGGGCCCAGGGUGGGGGGCAGGCUUCUCGGCCUGUUCUCCUCGGGCAUCUCCACCCGAAGGGCCCUCUCUGGUGCCGUGCGUCCACUUGCGGGGGUUUGUGCCAUAGCCCUGACGUGUGGCCGGGGACAGUGGUGCCGCUGGCGGUGGGCUCCCAGGGGCCCACAACGCACAGGGAGCCGGGGCAGGCCCUCGAGGGGGAGGCGGUGGGGGGCGCAUCCAGAGUGUUAACUUCUGGAGGGGCCGGAGCGCCAAGAUCCCGGGGCAAGCCCGGCUGCUGUGCCCAACCUCCCCGCCUGGCCCGCUCGCCUCUGAGGCGCUUGCCCGAGUGCCAACCUACCCCCACCGCUGUGUCACAUCACCCAGCAGAACUGCCCUCCGAGUGCCAACGCCCCAGUGGUGUGAGGGGCCGUGCCGGCCGGCGGGGGUGACCUCGCCCGCUUGUACUUGUAUAUUAAACAGUCCUGAUUUCAGACAAUUUAAACCUUAAUCUAUUUAAAAAAGAAUAUUAUAUAAAAAUGCUGUUUUUAAACCUUUUGUCAUUUGAAAUGCAUGUGUUGUCCGUGCGGGCUGAGGGGCGGGCGCCGUCGGCUCAGUGCCAGUCUCCUGUGGCCGGAGCUGUCCGGGUUCAGGCAGCGUGUCGGGGCCCUGACCCCUUAAUCCAGAGAUACGUGAUGGAAAUAGACUUUUCAUACCUUUCUUCUGAAAUGAAUUCUGUUUUAAAUUGGAAUAAAUUUUGUUCCU
Molecule: long non-coding RNA, 1399 nt
Filed under: Phocoena sinus (vaquita)
Lineage: Eukaryota; Metazoa; Chordata; Mammalia; Artiodactyla; Phocoenidae
Description: lncRNA (ENSPSNG00000011188.1)
Source: RNAcentral